RNAcentral lists this ribosomal RNA (253 nucleotides) under uncultured bacterium. RNAcentral describes it as "partial 16S ribosomal RNA". It matches the Rfam family "Bacterial small subunit ribosomal RNA", at positions 524 to 776 of the family's 1533-position model. The record is from RNAcentral.
UACGUAGGGUGCGAGCGUUGUUCGGAAUUAUUGGGCGUAAAGCGUAUGUAGGCGGCUAGGUAAGUCAGGCGUGCAAGCCCGUGGCUCAACCACGGAAUUGCGUUUGAAACUGCUUAGCUUGAGUACAGGAGAGGAAAGCGGAAUUCCCAGUGUAGCGGUGAAAUGCAUUGAUAUUGGGAAGAACAUCUGUGGCGAAGGCGGCUUUCUGGUCUGUUACUGACGCUGAGAUACGAAAGCCAGGGGAGCAAAGGGG